Long non-coding RNA from Hirundo rustica (Barn swallow), 4704 nucleotides. RefSeq lists it as uncharacterized. The record is from RefSeq and is a predicted model, not a curated record. NCBI's taxonomy places the organism in Eukaryota, Metazoa, Chordata, Aves, Passeriformes, Hirundinidae. The transcript has 14 exons.
CUUUGGUGUGUGAUGGCCUUCUCCUCCCUUGUGCUGUUUAACGAGCUCUGCCUUGGAAUUUCUCACCAAGUAUUUGUGCAGAGUUCAUUCCUCCUGCUGCUUUACCUUCAAUCCAGCAUGCUUGCCUGAAGGCCCUCAGGCAGCCCCUGGAUCUGUGCUCUGUGUUUGGCUGGUCAGCGUUCUUCUGCCAGGUGGUCCCCUCCUGCAGUUCAUUACCCGCCUGGGUUAAAGGUGCAAGGUCCUUGUCUGUGCAGUGUAAUUCAUCUCAUUCCAACGAGAAUUGAAGGAGCCGCCAGGAAUUUGUGAGCUGAUGAAGGGAUUUCUGAGCCAAAGUUCCCAAGCUGAAUAAGGCUGGCAGCUCUAGUGGACACGCUGAUUCCUGGUAAUUGUGCCCUUCUGGCUGUGGAGCACCUUGGGGAAGCAGUGGCCUGAAGCUGUUCUUGUCUCUGGCAGUUGUGGGGCACGCUUGGAUCUCUGCUGCAGCUGUUCUGGGCAGAGCUGUCCUGCCCUUUCAAGCAGCCCUUCCUUUCCUGGGCAGUUGAUCCGUGCUGUGCUUGAGGGAGAGAUCUUGGUUGUGGCUGUGUCCUGCCUGCCUCGACUGGCAAAUGCUGCGGUUGUGGUUGGCGCGUGGCCGUGGGGAUCCUGGGGACAGUACCCUGGGGCGAGUGCAGUGAUCCCUGAGGAUGAAGAGAGGCUUGGGAUGAGGCGAAGAGACUUGGAGACACCAUUUUCCCAGAAUGACACUUCUGCUGAAAGGAAUUGGCAAGUGAAUUAAGCAGCGUUACCCUUCUUAUACUGCUGAGCUCGUUUCUGCUCCAAGUCCCUCAGUUCCUGAGGAGUCCAAGAUUUUCCCCAGGAGUGGGAAGGAGAAGCUGUUCCUCUGCUUGAGCUAAAAGUCUACCUGGAUUUUUGACCUCCUCCAGAACUGUUAAAUUCUGUUGGUUCUCCUGACUUGGGACUCUAGAGGGUGGGGGAAGAGGAUUUUUGUCUCGUGUUAUGCUUCUCUGUUGGUUUCAGCUCUUGCUCAGAAAGUGAAUGUAACCUUGUCUUCUCCGAGUCACCGACAAGCUCGUGACAAAGAAGGGGACCCAGAAGUUCUCGGGGCCCUGGCAGCGAGAGCAACAGCAAAUGGUGUUGGAGAGUUUCUGUGAGCCCCUGUUUGUGAGUCUUGUUUGGGGUUGUCCCUUUGUCCCCUCUGGAGGUGUUCCUUGAGCGUGUUCAGGCUGUGCCACGUCUGUCCCCGGCUGGAUGCAGGGUGUUCCAGGUGCUACAAGGCUUUGGUCAAAUGGCUGGGAGACACUGGACCCUUGAUGAGCAUUGACUGCACUUGUGGAGGGCCUGGCCACGUGGGCAUUCCUGGGAGGAGGAGUGCCCUGGAGUGAGUGCAGUGACCCCUAAAGUUGGAGAGAUGCUUGGAGAAACCAUUUUCCAGACUCACACUUGUGUUGAAAGCUCUGUGGCGGUGCUGAGUGUUGCAGAGUGGCUUGAAGGGUUUGCGAGAGCCGACCAGGGACUGGAGGAAUCGGCUCCAGCGGGGUCCCUGGCAAAUGCCGGACAAGAACUGACACAGAAUUUCUUGGGACCCUGGCAGAGAGAAAGAGAGAAGCAGCAAAUGGUGUUGGUAGCGUUUCUGUGAGUACUUGUGAGAUCAUGGGCUUCUUAUGGCUUAAGAAAGGAUCUGGAUGGGAAAACAGCUUGUUUGACAUGAAACCCUCAUGUGGAACAUCUGAACAAAGAGGAUGGGAUGAGACUUCUUGGAACCUAGGAGUAAGUUGAUGCGAGUAGUUUUGAUAGCAGCAGAGCAUCUGGAAGCACAUGUCAGAAGACUCUGCAAGGUAAGUGCAGAGCUGAAUGAUACAAGGAGGAAAACAUCUGGGGCUGUGUUUGGAUUUCUCAAGGCCUUGUAGAUUCCUCUCUCCAACCGCCACUUGUCAGUCGAGCUGGAUCAAUAUCCUUCAGCAGACCAUCAGUGUCUGGUGUUCCUGGCAUUUUAGUAGCUUGAAUUUUGCCCAAGGAAGAGCAUCCUGGUCUUGCUCUGGUGUUGAGACAGCUUAGUGCCCUUUUGGACCUUCUUCAAGGAGUAGGAGGAGCCUGGAUUUGUGUUUCUUGGAUGGUCCUGACCUUCAAGACAAGGACUAAAGGGGCGUGCCAAGGCAGCAGGGGCUGCUCUGGAAGUUAGGAGUGGUUGGGCUCUUCUGUCCUGGUUCUGCUUAAGAGAUGGCUCAGGGCUGCUGAAAUGCUGAGGGCUGCACAACAGGCCUUUGAACCAAAGCUGAGCUCUUGCUGGAACCUUCCUAAGCCUAAUGCUGUGUUUGUAUGCAUUCAUGAACAAAGUCCACAGGAUGGCUAGUGUUAGGGCCUAGGUAUCUGCUCACUGACAUAACAGGGAUUGACCUUUCUGUAACUGAGAACCUGGACAAAGCCACAAAAUCAGACCUCUUGCCUUGCUGGCAGCUCCGGGGUUGUUCCCUGAGCCCUGGCCAGGCUUUGGGCCCAAUCCACGAGGAAGCCGAGCCCAGCUGUUGCCGUACUGGACGUUGUGUCAGCCUGUUGCUGGCACCCAAUUGUCCGAGCUGGGCCCUGUCCCAGCACAGUCGGAAGCCUCUUUGCCUGCGGGUGGACGCACCCGUGGGAAUUCCCGGUUGUGGGAGAGGUUCUCCAGUGCUUGGCUGGGACAGGGGGUUCCCAGCUCGCGGGCUGUGGCUCUGGAGGAUGGUGCAGCCUUAGGCUGUGACGGGUGCUGUAUCUUAAUCACUGUAGGCAAUUGGCCAAAGCCAGGCACCCAUGAAAGUUGUUCACUUGCUCUCUGCUGCUUUAGUUGGGCUAAGGAGAGGGGGGGAAAAAAGAAAAAAUGAAUGAGGGGUUCAUGAGUUAAGAACUGGGAGAAAAACACUCUAAGGGUGAAACGGGUAUAAAUUUAAAGGUGUAAAGUUAAUUUAUUAUUAACAGAGUCAGAGAAUGAUAGUGUGAAGUAAAUUAAGCCUUUAAAACACCUUGUAUUUUUUUUCCCUGCCAGCCCCUUCCUCUUUCCUACUGACAGGGCACGGGGGUUUUGGUCAGCUCAUUAGUUGAGGUCUUUUUCUGUUUGCUCAGGGAGAGGAGUUUUUUCUUUGGUAUGCUGUCGGGUCCCUCCCGCAGGCCAAGAGCCUUUCCAGAGCUGUUGUGUCAUGGGUUCCUCAUGCCCAGGAUGCAGUUUUUUAGGGCUUGGUUGCUCUAGUUGGGAAGCAAGGCUUCUCUUUAUCUCUAGAAGCAGGGGCCCUCUCUCUCUCUUCCUAGUCAGGUCUCCCAGUGGAUCAAAGCACUCUCUGGCUUCCACCCCCUCUGGCAUGAGUGCUUUCCCCACGGGCUGUGAGUGGAUCUCUGCAUCCUCUGUGGACUUGAUGUAAACUGACAGGGCCACAACUUGUUUCAUCACAGUCCUCACUACAGCUUGCAGAGGAAUCUCAGCUGUGACGAGCACUUUGGAGCACUUCUUCCCCCUUUUUUCCUUUGACCUUGGUGCCACCAUGUUGUUUUCCAGCACAUUCUCACUUCCUCCUCUCCUGUGACUAGAAGAAAAGCUGGUGCUCAUAGGUGCUACUGCUAGAAGGUUUCAGCAGUUCAAAGAUCCCUGCGGGCUCCCCCGGCAGCAAGGAAGUUGAUCUCGUUUAGGCUCCUGUCGGGGAGUUGCUGGCCGUGUUUUUGCUGCAGCCAUCGGGUGGGCGGUGGCAGCCAGCGGGGCCCUGGUGCUGUUUAAGGCCUCUCCUGGUGCGUGUUGCCGGAGGAGAAGCUGCCGCUGCCAGCCCUGCCCUCCUGCCUGGGGUGCGGCUGGCCGCGGGGCCGGGCAGACCGGCUUUGCCGCGGCCACAGUGGCGCCUUGCCCUGUGCCAUGCCGGGAUGGGCCCUGGCACAGCGCCUCCCAACCCCUGGAACAAACUGCCCUUGGGCUGCUUUGAUGUUCUUUGUCAAUGGGACCAUGAGGUCUUACCCACUUUUCUAAUUGGUCCGGCGGCACUCCCAUCUUCAGAGCUAUCAGCAGCUGGCUCUGUUGGACACGGUGGAAGCUUCUAGCAGCUUCUCCCAGAAGCCACCUCUGUGGGCUCCCUGCUGCUACCACGAAACCAGGCUGUGCCAAAUCAACACAGCAGUCUUUGGUAGGAAUGCUGAGGUGCAAUGAUGAGCUUCUCCUUUUGUAACUUCUUGCUCUGAGCCUGAGUAAAUGACAAAAUUCCUGUAGCUGGUGUCAGUGAUUUAAGCAUGGCAAACUCACUCGCUGUGCUGCGCCCCCCCGCCCCGAGUCUGUGAGCAAGAACCUGAAUGUAUUGGAUUAUGUAACCUAAAAAUGUGUGUUCUAUUUCAUCUGUGGAAAGCAGUUUUUUGGGACUUGUUUUAUCCUUCUCUUAGCCUUCCAGGGGAGAGGGAGACUGAUGUCUUCUGAUAAUGGCCCAGCCAUGAAAACCAGAUGGAAAAUAGAGUUGCUGAGCUAAGUUUUAACAGUAAGAAAGCAGCAAGUUCUCUAGGGUUUGACAGUCUGGAAGCACUGGACGGGUCCUCUUUAUAUAUUGUGGCAUCAGUGUUGGAAUCUAUGGGGAACUGAAUAGCUUUCAUGGUUUUCCUGGGACGCAGAGUGCUGUCUCCAGCUCUGGGGCCUCCACCAUGAGAAGGACAUGAACCUGCUGAAGUGAUUCUGGAGGAGAAAUAAGGGCUAAAGAACCUCUCCUAUGA